Molecule: ribosomal RNA, 1134 nt
Filed under: Microchloropsis gaditana
Lineage: Eukaryota; Eustigmatophyceae; Eustigmatales; Monodopsidaceae
Description: bacterial LSU rRNA
Rfam family: Bacterial large subunit ribosomal RNA
Source: RNAcentral
CAACAACCCAGACCUACGACUAAGGUCCCUAAACAUCGUUCAGUGGAGAAGGAUGUGGAUUUACACAGACAAUGAGGAUGUUGGCUUAGAGGCAGCCACCAUUUAAACAGUGCGUAAUAGCUGACUCAUCGAGUGAAUCUGCGCCGAAAAUGAUCGGGACUCAAACGAUGUACCGAAGUCUAGGACUCUACAGCUUGCUGUAGUUUGGUAGGAAAGCGUUCCAACAGGAGUGAAGGGGAAGCGGCGAGCGACCCUGGACCGGUUGGAAGUGAGAAUGUAGGCAUGAGUAACGAUAAAACAGGUUAAAAUCCUGUUCGCCGUAAGGAUAAGGUUUCCUGGGGAAGGUUCGUCCGCCCAGGGUUAGUCGGGAGCUAAGGCGAGGGCGUAAGCAGUAGUCGAUGCACAACAGGUUAAUAUUCCUGUACCCGCUUAUAUAUGUUUGAUCUUCGGAGUGACGGAGAAGGUUAACCGAGCUGGGUGAUGAUUGUCCCAGUCGAAGGUCGUAGGCUGAAGAGUAGGCAAAUCCGCUCUUCGUUAAGGCUGAAAACCGUAAGGACCUUGAAGCUACGGCUGAUAGGGAUUCGGUGAUACCAGGCUUUCAGGAAAAGCUUCGUUGUUAGUAUAUAGGUGGCCCGUACCGCAAACCGACACAGGUAUCCGGGAUGAGUAUUCUAAGGCGCGUGAGUUAAAUCUCUCUAAGGAACUCGGCAAAUUUGCCCCGUAUCUUCGGUAGAAGGGGUGCCCCUUUCGGGGGGUCGCAGUUAAGAGGCGCAACCGACUGUUUAGCAAAAACACAGCUCUCUGCAAAGUCGCAAGACGACGUAUAGGGAGUGACACGUGACCAAUGCAGAAAGGUGAACGUCUGGGGUGAGAGCUCCGGGCCCAAGCCCCUGUGAAUGUCGGCCGUAACUAUAACGGUCCUAAGGUAGCGAAAUUCCUUGUCGGGAAGUUCCGACCCGCACGAAUCGUGUAACGAGUUGCGCACUGUCUCGGAGAGAUGCUCAGUGAAAUUGUAGUAGCGGUCAAGAUGCCGCUUACCCGCAGCAGGACGGAAAGACCCUUUGCACCUUUACUGUAAGCUGAUAUUGGUACUUGAUUUUCAAUGCGUAGGAUAGGUGGGAGACUUCGAAGCGG